This is a non-coding RNA of Puma concolor (puma), 343 nucleotides long. NCBI's taxonomy places the organism in Eukaryota, Metazoa, Chordata, Mammalia, Carnivora, Felidae. The record is from RefSeq and is a predicted model, not a curated record.
CAAAGACAAUUCAGUGAAAUCUAAGACAUAAUAAAUCUUACGGAGCAAAAGAACAUUAGAGCUUGGAGAGAAGGAACAGACACCUUCUGUUUUGGUGACAAAUUCUUUGGAAGCCUUAUUCCCAAUUAUUCUUCUAUUAUCCUCCCGGUCUACAACGCUGAACUGUGGCUGGACGAGUGCUUGGAGUCUGUUUUGCAACAGGACUUUGAAGGCUCCAUGGAGCUCUCGGUUUUUAAUGAUGCUAGUAAGGACAAGUCUAUGACUAUCAUUGAGAAAUGGAAAGUGAAACUGGAAAACUCUGGUGUCCGCGUGGUCAUUGGAGGACAUGAUUCUCCUUCACCCC